Centrocercus urophasianus (Greater sage-grouse) is the source of this 3696-nucleotide RNA transcript. It is a transcript of the gene named methyltransferase 8, methylcytidine, with no coding region annotated. Lineage: Eukaryota; Metazoa; Chordata; Aves; Galliformes; Phasianidae. The record is from RefSeq and is a predicted model, not a curated record. The transcript is spliced from 15 exons.
CCCGCAGGGGGCUCGUAGGGAGAGGCUUCGGGGCUCCGAGUUCGCCGGCCGCUGCCGCUGUGACCUCCGGGCGCCGUACUGAGGGACUGAAGUGAGUGCAACGCGCACGGGCGAACAGAGGUGCAAAGGAAAGAAUUCCACUCGAGAUUCCGGCUGUAAAAGGCGGGAGAGUUUUGUGGGAGAUCAUUGAGUCCAAAGAAGAAACUGCAGCCGAAGCUCAUAUCUUCUCAGGUUCCGUCUAGCUGCUUCUAAAAGUCGUCACCAUCGUCAACAGCGUUUGCCAGAAGAGAAACUGGACUUCUGGAGACAAGCUUGUGUUCUUUCCUCCAAAGGCCUAAAUGGGAUGUCUGAACAAAAUGAAUUUCAUUACAAGGCUUUCUGCUUUGUGUCUGAGAAAAAAAAGCAAUAUGCAGCAAAGGCACCAGAGAAGUCGGCGGCCAGCUGUUCCACUUGGAUCACGGAUUUUAACUGACCCUUCGAAAGUUUUUGAGCAUAACAUGUGGGACCACAUGCAGUGGUCACAGGAAGAGGAGGAGCGUGCCAAGGAAAAAGCAGCAGAGAACUCGCUUGUGAAAGUCCAAUUGGAAGAACAAGAUAAGUAUGAGAGAGAAGCCAGUAAAUACUGGAAUGAAUUUUACAAGACUCACAAAAAUAACUUCUUCAAAGAUCGCAAUUGGUUGUUCUUGGAAUUUCCAGAAAUCCUUCCAGAAAAAAUGAGAGAACAGUUGAAAAUAGAGGAAAGACCUUCAGAACACACAAAAAUAAAUAUUACCAACAGUUUUUCACAUGAGAAAGAAAUGUUUGAGGAAAGAGAAAAGUAUUGGAAGAAAAAUACUGGAGAUGAAUCCACUUCUGAAAAAGGAUAUGUGUAUAAUAAAAAACAAUCAAAAUCGAUUGCUGACAGCCCUCAGGGUAAAAACAACGAGGAAGAAAUUAAUAUGCAGGAAUCCUUCCCUGGUGGCUGUGCCACUUACAGAAUAUUAGAGGUUGGUUGUGGUGCUGGCAAUAGCGUAUUUCCUAUUUUGAAAGUUCUAUGUGCACCUGGAACCUUUCUGUACUGUUGUGAUUUUGCUUCAGGAGCAGUGGAGCUCGUAAAGUCACAUUCGUCCUACAAUUCAGCCUGGUGUUCUGCCUUUGUUCAUGAUGUGUGUGAUGAUGCUUUACCCUAUCCUUUUCCAGAUGAGAUCCUGGAUGUCAUUCUCCUUGUCUUUGUGCUCUCAACUAUUCAUCCUGACAGGAUGCAACAGGUUGUAAAUAGAUUGGUUAAACUACUGAAACCUGGAGGGAUGCUGUUAUUUCGAGACUAUGGAAGAUAUGAUACAGCUCAGCUUCGUUUUAAAAAAGGUCAUUGCUUGUCAGAAAAUUUUUAUGUACGAGGAGAUGGAACCAGAGUAUAUUUCUUUACCAAAGAAGAGGUACGGAACAUGUUCAAUUCGGCUGGAUUAACUGAAGUACAAAAUUUAGUUGAUCGUCGAUUACAAGUAAAUAGGAAGAAAAAAGUGAAAAUGCAGCGAGUUUGGGUACAAGGCAAAUUCCAAAAACCAUUGCUGCUAUCUCUUAAUAAUCCUGAAGAAACCACCAGUAGGCAUCCUUACGGAUAACUGUACUGUUAACUUAAGAAAAAGAAACAGAUCUGACAAAACCGAGGCAGGUGGUUGUGCAAUAUCUACAAAUCCACCAAAUCUGAAGAGGACAAAGGAAAUGCAGGGCAGGCAAGGAAACAGCUGGAGCUCUAGACACAGGGAACUAUGUUUUUACCUUCUUUCGUGUAGAUCUCUAAAGUGACAGAAGAUACAAUCCUCACCUCCUGGGAAGCGAAUACAAAAGAAUAACACUAGUCUGCAUACCCUGACUGUGCUCAAUCAAGUUUUCUUUCCCAUGAUUCCUGACUCAAAACUGAUACAGCAAAUCCUGAUUUGCCACCUGGGAAACACGGAAAAAUUUUGCCACCGGCUUCACCCAAGACAAGAAUUCAUCAUAAAGAAACUUCAGUCAGAUCUGCAGCUAUUGUGCAUCCCCAUCCAGUACUUUGAUGAAAUGCUGCUGUAUGGCAGAUUACAAGCAAGAGGUGGAUGCAUCUGGUUUGUUUUAAAGCCUCUUCCAUUAGGGACAGGUAAGCAUCACUGUCAUCUUUUCAUACUGUAGCACAUUUUAAUAUCUUCUCUUAUUCUUUGGGUUGGUUUCCAUUUCCAGUCCUUAACUUAUGACCUCUUUUUGAUUUAGACUUUGAUUACACUCCAGAAGAGAGAAUUCACUUGAACUACAAAAUCCAUUUGUUAUGGUACUAAUAAAAAUUGUGCCUACUGAAAACUGCAGUGGAAGAGAAAGGGAGGAAGCCUAACAGGCUUGACACCACCUUUUGUCUGUAUUGUAGCAAGGGAAGAGGGAAAGAUAUCCAGGAAUUGUCUUAUCAUCAUAUCAUAUACAUGAGCAUUUUUGUUUUUCUAAUCUCUUUGAUUUUUCAAUGCUUCUCUUAACCCUUUCUUCUUGAAGCAAGGAAGGAAAAUGAUAUUACAAGUACUCAAUUUUUUUCUUUCUCAAGAGCAGCUAGUGUCCCUUGUGUUGAGAAGGAAUUGGGACCAUGUGGAAAGCUAGAUUUCAACUGAGGGCAGUUUGUGGGGUUUUGCCUAUAACUAAGGUUUAGCUGAGUUGCAGCUGAAGUAUAGUUUAGCAGAGUGCAGAUUCUGCAUUUUCCUACACUCAUGUAUUGCUUUCUUACCUCUCCUAAUUUUCUGCUUUUCCUUUCCUUCUCUGAAGGCGCCAAAUGGAAAGCUGUAUAAUCUUUUUGAAUAUAUUCUAUGAUUCUUGCUGAUGAAUUAGAUGAACAGCUGCUUGGAACAGCCUGGGAAUACAAUUUGGUGAAAAAAAAGAGAUGAGAUACAAACAGAUUCCCUUAUGAUGCCAUUCAUUCCAUAUGCAAUAUUAUCCCAGAGGGGUGGAAACAUGGCAAGACCUAAAAUUCAAUUUGAAUUUGAGCUGGUUUUUAAAGAAGCAAUUCUACAUACACUGCACCCACAAAACCAUGUGCAAAUUGGCACACACUUUCUCUUUUUUUGUAAGAACAGCCUCGUUGGUUGUAUGCAUUUUUCUCUCUGUGCGGAAGAACUUUUACAGGGACAACUAUUGUAAUUUCUUUUCACUAUUUCCCAAAGUUAUGCUAAUUCUUACAUUAUUUGAUUCUCAUCAUUUCUGUGUGCUUUAAGCAAGGUGUGAAGGAAAAAAAUGGCUCACAUUUUGGCAUACAAGACAAUCAAAAAUCCAUUCCAGUAAAUGAAAAGGAACUCAUUGAUAUGUGUCAGUGUUCCUGUAAUAUCCUCCUGAUCACAUUCUGCAUUGUAAUUUUGUGUUAAGACUGGAAAUUAAAGCUGAUCUACUUCUCAGUUGCCUUAUGAAUGUUGUACACCAACUGAGCAAUGGGCAUUUUGUUUUCUUGUCUUGCUGCUUCAGUAAACUCCUUCCCAAGUUCUCUUCAGCUAGCAGCCUCUUGGGAAACACACACAGUAUUAAACAUGCCUGUCUAUAGAGAUGGGAGAGACAAAGAAUUACACUGAUCUUGGAUAAAUUAUCAUUUAGUUCUGAUCAUUCACACUACUUUAGAAAGGUUGAUGAGAUUUUUUCGAUGGGAAUCUUGCAUCAGUACAGGUUGGGGCUGCCCUGCUGGAGAGGAGCUCUGCAGAAGAGAACCUGGGGGUCCUG